UACGGAGGGGGCUAGCGUUGUUCGGAAUUACUGGGCGUAAAGCGUACGUAGGCGGCUUUGUAAGUUAGAGGUGAAAGCCCGGGGCUCAACUCCGGAAUUGCCUUUAAGACUGCAUCGCGCGAAUCAUGGAGAGGUGAGUGGAAUUCCGAGUGUAGAGGUGAAAUUCGUAGAUAUUCGGAAGAACACCAGUGGCGAAGGCGACUCACUGGACAUGUAUUGACGCUGAGGUACGAAAGCGUGGGGAGCAAACAGG
RNAcentral lists this ribosomal RNA (253 nucleotides) under uncultured bacterium. Its description in RNAcentral is "partial 16S ribosomal RNA". It matches the Rfam family "Bacterial small subunit ribosomal RNA", at positions 524 to 776 of the family's 1533-position model. The record is from RNAcentral.